UUCAAUGUAGCAAAAUAUAUGCGAUGGAUUUAGAAUUCAUAGAAGGUAAUACCCUUUGAAUC
RNAcentral lists this transfer RNA (62 nucleotides) under Centruroides vittatus. RNAcentral describes it as "tRNA-Leu". The record is from RNAcentral. Lineage: Eukaryota; Metazoa; Arthropoda; Arachnida; Scorpiones; Buthidae.